Molecule: small nuclear RNA, 18 nt
Filed under: Arabidopsis thaliana (thale cress)
Lineage: Eukaryota; Viridiplantae; Streptophyta; Magnoliopsida; Brassicales; Brassicaceae
Description: snRNA_13767
Source: RNAcentral
CUUUGAAAUAGGUCACAC